CGAUUCUGUUCUUAACUGAAUGGAGUAGCUAUCUUUCGGGGUGGUCAGUUGGUUGUUAUAUCUCCACUAAUGAGCAGAGAGGGGUUAAAACCUUCAAAGUAAGUUAUGUGGGUCAAGGUAUAAUGAUUAAUUGGAGUUCUAGUUCAUUUACUUUGAGAAAAUUAGAGUGUUUAAAGCAGCCUCUUGGGGCACUGAAUACAUUAGCAUGGGAUAAUAAAAUAGGAUCUUCACAAUAUAUUUUAUUGGUUUAAAUUGCGUAUGAAGAUAAUGAUUAAUAGGGACAGUUGGGGGUAUUCAUAUUGGGUGGUUAGCGGUGAAAUGCUCGGAUCCAUUCAAGAUGAACUAAAGCGAAAGCAUUUACCAAGGAUGUUUUCAUUAAUCAAGAACGAAAAGUUAAGGGAUACGAAGACGAUUAGAUACCGUCGUAGUCUUAACUAUAAACUAUG
This 446-nucleotide ribosomal RNA is filed under the name uncultured eukaryote. Its description in RNAcentral is "bacterial SSU rRNA". It matches the Rfam family "Eukaryotic small subunit ribosomal RNA", at positions 626 to 1041 of the family's 1831-position model. The record is from RNAcentral.